This 351-nucleotide ribosomal RNA is filed under the name Triticum aestivum (bread wheat). RNAcentral's name for it is "partial small subunit ribosomal RNA". Lineage: Eukaryota; Viridiplantae; Streptophyta; Magnoliopsida; Poales; Poaceae. The record is from RNAcentral.
AUGGCGUCUUCGACGCCGGCGCCGGCGGCCCCGCUGGAAAAAGGGGGCAGUCCUCCUGGAGAAGGCCUCGAAGGGGGCCUAUUCAGCGUGUGGGAUUGGGAAGAGUUUCGAGCGAGAUCCAAGCGAAUCAUCCACCGAGCGGUGAAUCGGGGACGCUGUCUGGCGUUGGCAAGAAGUAGAGCAGAGGAGAUCCCCAGCAUCCUGGCAGGUCAGUCCCUUCGUAAUAUAGAUGGGGAAGUCUCGAUCCGGUCUAGGAAGGCGAAGAUAUCAACGGAUUUGGCCACGAGUGUUUCUUUGGAAGGUACUGUUCCAGCCUCUGCGGGUGUGUAUGUAGGCCGGCACAUUUGGUAG